RNAcentral lists this ribosomal RNA (264 nucleotides) under Salmonella enterica subsp. enterica serovar Derby. RNAcentral describes it as "partial 23S ribosomal RNA". It matches the Rfam family "Bacterial large subunit ribosomal RNA", at positions 2679 to 2925 of the family's 2925-position model. Lineage: Bacteria; Pseudomonadati; Pseudomonadota; Gammaproteobacteria; Enterobacterales; Enterobacteriaceae. The record is from RNAcentral. RNAcentral also lists the same sequence under 1 other name.
UAGUACGAGAGGACCGGAGUGGACGCAUCACUGGUGUUCGGGUUGUCAUGCCAAUGGCACUGCCCGGUAGCUAAAUGCGGAAGAGAUAAGUGCUGAAAGCAUCUAAGCACGAAACUUGCCCCGAGAUGAGUUCUCCCUGAGACUUUAGGUCUCCUGAAGGAACGUUGAAGACGACGACGUUGAUAGGCCGGGUGUGUAAGCGCAGCGAUGCGUUGAGCUAACCGGUACUAAUGAACCGUGAGGCUUAACCUUACAACGCCGAAG